AUGAACGCUGGCGGCGUGCCUCAUACAUGCCAGUCGAGCGAACGGACGAGAAGCUUGCUUCUCUGAUGUUAGCGGCGGACGGGUGAGUAACACGUGGAUAACCUACCUAUAAGACUGGGAUAACUUCGGGAAACCGGAGCUAAUACCGGAUAAUAUUUUGAACCGCAUGGUUCAAAAGUGAAAGACGGUCUUGCUGUCACUUAUAGAUGGAUCCGCGCUGCAUUAGCUAGUUGGUAAGGUAACGGCUUACCAAGGCAACGAUGCAUAGCCGACCUGAGAGGGUGAUCGGCCACACUGGAACUGAGACACGGUCCAGACUCCUACGGGAGGCAGCAGUAGGGAAUCUUCCGCAAUGGGCGAAAGCCUGACGGAGCAACGCCGCGUGAGUGAUGAAGGUCUUCGGAUCGUAAAACUCUGUCAUUAGGGAAGAACAUAUGUGUAAGUAACUGUGCACAUCUUGACGGUACCUAAUCAGAAAGCCACGGCUAACUACGUG
Molecule: ribosomal RNA, 496 nt
Filed under: uncultured bacterium
Lineage: Bacteria
Description: partial 16S ribosomal RNA
Rfam family: Bacterial small subunit ribosomal RNA
Source: RNAcentral